GCGGGGAAGAGGCCGCCCUUUCGGCUGGGCGCCCGGCCGGGUCCUCCUUCCCGCGCCAUGUUGCAGCGAAGUUUCUUGAAGGCGGCGGCGGCCGGUUCCUCUUCGCUUCUUCUCCCCCGUCGCUGAACGAGGGAAAGGUGCGGCGUGAGGACAUGGCUGCGGACCGGCAGGACCCCCCCCCCUCCGCUGUGCAGGAGGAGGAGGAAGGUGUGAGUGGAGCCUGGCAGAAGACAAAGGGUGACGUGAAAAAAGAUUCUGUGCCUUGAAAAAUGAAGGAGAAAGCCAUGUGACACGGCGGAUCGAGGAGGUCUUCUCAAAGACCUGAGUUACUUUUGAGAACAGGACUGAUUUCUGGAACUUGCUUCAAAUACUGAAGAUCGUGCCUUGAGUUUUAGAAUUUCUAGCAAACGUGGCUACAGCAAAAUAAAUGGUUGGCAGUGUCUGCAUUUGAAGAUUCCUGAAACUUCAUCUUUUCUCACACAUGGGUUUCAAGCACACUACAGCCAAAGUGCAUGCGAUGCAGCUUGUGGUUCUGAAUGUUUGCUGUAACCUGGGUACUCAACUGUCUGUCUAAAAAAAAUUACAGCUGUUCUGUUCGAAGUGUCCCUUCUGCUUUUGCUGUACUCCUGUUGCAUAGCCGUAGGAGUUGCAAUCUUGCCCUUCUCCCAGUCAUCUCGGCUCAUAUUCUAAAAGCACUGUUGUUUCAAUCUGUGUUUUCCCUACAUGGUUAAGAAGGAUUUAAAAAA
Molecule: long non-coding RNA, 746 nt
Organism: Haliaeetus leucocephalus (bald eagle)
Lineage: Eukaryota; Metazoa; Chordata; Aves; Accipitriformes; Accipitridae
Exons: 6
Source: RefSeq, a predicted model, not a curated record